UAGGGAAUCUUCGGCAAUGGACGAAAGUCUGACCGAGCAACGCCGCGUGAGUGAAGAAGGUUUUCGGAUCGUAAAACUCUGUUGCUAGAGAAGAACAAGGACGUUAGUAACUGAACGUCCCCUGACGGUAUCUAACCAGAAAGCCACGGCUAACUACGUGCCAGCAGCCGCGGUAAUACGUAGGUGGCAAGCGUUGUCCGGAUUUAUUGGGCGUAAAGCGAGCGCAGGCGGUUUCUUAAGUCUGAUGUGAAAGCCCCCGGCUCAACCGGGGAGGGUCAUUGGAAACUGGGAGACUUGAGUGCAGAAGAGGAGAGUGGAAUUCCAUGUGUAGCGGUGAAAUGCGUAGAUAUAUGGAGGAACACCAGUGGCGAAGACGGCUCUCUGGUCUGUAACUGACGCUGAGGCUCGAAAGCGUGGGGAGCAAACAGG
This 429-nucleotide ribosomal RNA is filed under the name Gemmatimonadota bacterium. RNAcentral describes it as "Gemmatimonadetes bacterium partial 16S ribosomal RNA". It matches the Rfam family "Bacterial small subunit ribosomal RNA", at positions 355 to 776 of the family's 1533-position model. Lineage: Bacteria; Pseudomonadati; Gemmatimonadota. The record is from RNAcentral.